RNAcentral lists this transfer RNA (69 nucleotides) under Ictidomys tridecemlineatus (thirteen-lined ground squirrel). Its description in RNAcentral is "Spermophilus tridecemlineatus (thirteen-lined ground squirrel) tRNA". It matches the Rfam family "tRNA". From Rfam's summary of the family: Transfer RNA (tRNA) molecules are approximately 80 nucleotides in length. Their secondary structure includes four short double-helical elements and three loops (D, anti-codon, and T loops). Further hydrogen bonds mediate the characteristic L-shaped molecular structure. tRNAs have two regions of fundamental functional importance: the anti-codon, which is responsible for specific mRNA codon recognition, and the 3' end, to which the tRNAs corresponding amino acid is attached (by aminoacyl-tRNA synthetases). tRNAs cope with the degeneracy of the genetic code in two manners: having more than one tRNA (with a specific anti-codon) for a particular amino acid; and 'wobble' base-pairing, i.e. permitting non-standard base-pairing at the 3rd anti-codon position. The record is from Rfam by way of RNAcentral. Lineage: Eukaryota; Metazoa; Chordata; Mammalia; Rodentia; Sciuridae.
GGGGUUGUGGCUCAGUGGUAGAGUACUUGCCUAGCAUGCAUGAGGCACUGGGUUCAAUCCCCAGCACCA